Long non-coding RNA from Arabidopsis lyrata subsp. lyrata, 359 nucleotides. RefSeq lists it as uncharacterized. The transcript is spliced from 3 exons. The record is from RefSeq and is a predicted model, not a curated record. Lineage: Eukaryota; Viridiplantae; Streptophyta; Magnoliopsida; Brassicales; Brassicaceae.
GGAUCACCGAAUUAUUCAUAUCUACCGUUGAUUAGACUAAAUCUAACGGUCAAUAAUCCACUCUGUUUUAAUUAACUUUUGUACAUCUCGAUAUCUACUUUUCUGUCUCAUUAUUCGAUGUCUUCAAAGGAAACCCAAUAAACUCAAUCUCGAAGCUUCUUUCACCAUCGCCAAACACAAAAAAACACCAUCGCCGAAUCUAAAGAUCUUUUCAUUUUCAGGUUUCGGAGCUAGAUAUCACAGGUUCUACCACAUUUCGUCAUUCAAGCAAAGAAACUGUUAGUUAAAUGGAAGAUAAAGGACUCAUAUGCGGCCUCCCCGCUAAGAACGUUGUACCAACAUUCCGAUAACCGACACAA